This 449-nucleotide ribosomal RNA is filed under the name uncultured bacterium. RNAcentral describes it as "bacterial SSU rRNA". It matches the Rfam family "Bacterial small subunit ribosomal RNA", at positions 29 to 524 of the family's 1533-position model. The record is from RNAcentral.
AACGAACGCUGGCGGCAUGCCUAACACAUGCAAGUCGAACGAAGCCUUCGGGCUUAGUGGCGCACGGGUGCGUAACGCGUGGGAAUCUGCCCUUGGGUUCGGAAUAACAGUUAGAAAUGACUGCUAAUACCGAAUGAUGUCUUCGGACCAAAGAUUUAUCGCCCAAGGAUGAGCCCGCGUCGGAUUAGCUAGUUGGUGAGGUAAAGGCUCACCAAGGCGACGAUCCGUAGCUGGUCUGAGAGGAUGAUCAGCCACACUGGGACUGAGACACGGCCCAGACUCCUACGGGAGGCAGCAGUGGGAAAUAUUGGACAAUGGGCGAAAGCCUGAUCCAGCAAUGCCGCGUGAGUGAUGAAGGCCUUAGGGUUGUAAAGCUCUUUUACCCGGGAUGAUAAUGACAGUACCGGGAGAAUAAGCUCGGCUAACUUCGUGCCAGCAGCCGCGGUAAU